RNAcentral lists this ribosomal RNA (397 nucleotides) under uncultured bacterium. Its description in RNAcentral is "partial 16S ribosomal RNA". It matches the Rfam family "Bacterial small subunit ribosomal RNA", at positions 523 to 918 of the family's 1533-position model. The record is from RNAcentral.
AUACGUAGGUGGCGAGCGUUGUCCGGAAUUACUGGGCGUAAAGGAUGCGUAGGUGGAUACUUAAGUGGGAUGUGAAAUCCCCGGGCUCAACCCGGGAACUGCAUUCCAAACUGGGUAUCUAGAGUGCAGGAGAGGAAAGCGGAAUUCCUAGUGUAGCGGUGAAAUGCGUAGAUAUUAGGAGGAACACCAGUGGCGAAGGCGGCUUGCGUGACGGUAACGGUAACUGAGGCAUGAAAUCGUGGUGUGCAAACAGGAUUGAAUACCCUGGUAGUCCACGCCGUAAACGAUGGUUACUAGGUGUAGGAGGUAUCGACCCCUUCUGUGCCGUCGUUAACACAAUAAGUACCCCGCCUGGGGAGUACGGUCUCAAGACUAAAACUCAAAUGAAUUGGCGGGG